GCGCCCGUAGCUCAGAUGGAUAGAGCACCGCCCUCCUAAGGCGGGGGCCGCACGUUCGAAUCGUGCCGGGCGCA
RNAcentral lists this transfer RNA (74 nucleotides) under Acidobacteriota bacterium. RNAcentral's name for it is "tRNA-Arg". It matches the Rfam family "tRNA". Rfam says of the family: Transfer RNA (tRNA) molecules are approximately 80 nucleotides in length. Their secondary structure includes four short double-helical elements and three loops (D, anti-codon, and T loops). Further hydrogen bonds mediate the characteristic L-shaped molecular structure. tRNAs have two regions of fundamental functional importance: the anti-codon, which is responsible for specific mRNA codon recognition, and the 3' end, to which the tRNAs corresponding amino acid is attached (by aminoacyl-tRNA synthetases). tRNAs cope with the degeneracy of the genetic code in two manners: having more than one tRNA (with a specific anti-codon) for a particular amino acid; and 'wobble' base-pairing, i.e. permitting non-standard base-pairing at the 3rd anti-codon position. Lineage: Bacteria; Pseudomonadati; Acidobacteriota. The record is from RNAcentral.